Molecule: ribosomal RNA, 199 nt
Filed under: uncultured bacterium
Lineage: Bacteria
Description: partial 16S ribosomal RNA
Rfam family: Bacterial small subunit ribosomal RNA
Source: RNAcentral
ACGCUCGACACCUACGGGAGGUAGCAGUGGGGAAUAUUGCACAAUGGGGGAAACCCGUGAUGCAGCGACGCCGCGUGGAGGAAGAAGGUCUUCGGAUUGUAAACUCCUGUUGUUGGGGAAAAAGAGGAUGGUACCCAACAAGGAAGUGACGGCUAACUACGUGCUAGCAGCCGCGGUAAUCUGAGCGGGCUGGCAAGGC